This 420-nucleotide ribosomal RNA is filed under the name bacterium. RNAcentral's name for it is "partial 16S ribosomal RNA". It matches the Rfam family "Bacterial small subunit ribosomal RNA", at positions 355 to 776 of the family's 1533-position model. The record is from RNAcentral.
UGGGGGAUAUUGCACAAUGGGCGAAAGCCUGAUGCAGCGACGCCGCGUGGGGGAUGAAGGCUUUCGGGUUGUAAACCUCUUUCGCUAUCGAACAAGGCCCGCUUAGGGUGGGGGGAGGGUAGGUGGAGAAGAAGCGCCGGCUAACUACGUGCCAGCAGCCGCGGUAAUACGUAGGGCGCGAGCGUUGUCCGGAAUUAUUGGGCGUAAAGGGCUUGUAGGCGGCUUGUUGCGCCUGCUGUGAAAACGCGGGGCUUAACUUCGCGCGUGCAGUGGGUACGGGCAGGCUUGAGUGUGGUAGGGGUGACUGGAAUUCCAGGUGUAGCGGUGGAAUGCGCAGAUAUCUGGAGGAACACCGAUGGCGAAGGCAGGUCACUGGGCCAUUACUGACGCUGAGGAGCGAAAGCAUGGGUAGCGAACAGG